CCCAGGAGCGAUAGCACGUUGAAUGAACCAGUUUCCCUUGGAUCACUGAAGUUGAGCAACGUUGCGCGUGGUUAGUAUUCAGAUGGGUGACCAUCUGGACAAUCGCAUUCUGCUGGCU
This 118-nucleotide ribosomal RNA is filed under the name Diaphorina citri (Asian citrus psyllid). The record is from RNAcentral. Lineage: Eukaryota; Metazoa; Arthropoda; Insecta; Hemiptera; Psyllidae.